RNAcentral lists this ribosomal RNA (271 nucleotides) under uncultured bacterium. RNAcentral describes it as "partial 16S ribosomal RNA". The record is from RNAcentral.
CUGCUGCCUCCCGUAGGAGUCUGGGCCGUGUCUCAGUCCCAGUGUGGGGGGCCUUCCUCUCAGAACCCCUACGCAUCGUCGCCACGGUGGGCCGUCACCCCGCCGUCUAGCUAAUGCGCCGCAUGCCCAUCCGCCACCGGAUCGCUCCUUUGGCCACCGGAGGAUGCCCUCCGGUGGCGUCACGGGGUAUUAGGCCGCGUUUCCGCGGGUUAUCCCCCUGUGGCGGCCAGGUUGCAUACGUGUUACUCACCCGUGCGCCGGUCGCGGCGGG